GAUCCUGGCUCAGAAUCAACGCUGGCGGCGCGCUUAACACAUGCAAGUCGAACGAGAAAGCCCGCAAGGGUGAGUAAAGUGGCGUACGGGUGAGUAACACGUGGGUAAUCUACCUUUUGGUGGGGAAUAACGCUGGGAAACCGGCGCUAAUACCGCAUAAGCUCGAAAGAGGAAAGGAGCAAUUCGCCGAAAGAGGAGCCCGCGGCUGAUUAGCUAGUUGGUGAGGUAAAGGCUCACCAAGGCUAUGAUCGGUAGCCGGCCUGAGAGGGCACACGGCCACACUGGCACUGAAACACGGGCCAGACUCCUACGGGAGGCAGCAGUGGGGAAUCUUGCACAAUGGGGGAAACCCUGAUGCAGCGACGCCGCGUGAGCGAUGAAGCCCUUCGGGGUGUAAAGCUCUUUCGGCAGGGACGAUAAUGACGGUACCUGAAGAAGAAGCUGCGGCUAACUACGUGCCAGCAGCCGCGGUAAUACGUAGGCAGCGAGCGUUGUUCGGAGUUACUGGGCGUAAAGAGUGCGUAGGCGGUUUUCUAAGUUUGGUGUGAAAUCUCCCGGCUUAACUGGGAGGGUGCGCCGAAGACUGGAAGGCUUGAGUAUGGGAGAGGUAAGCGGAAUUCCUGGUGUAGCGGUGAAAUGCGUAGAUAUCAGGAGGAACACCUGCGGUGUAGACGGCUUACUGGACCAUAA
Molecule: ribosomal RNA, 690 nt
Filed under: uncultured Acidobacteriota bacterium
Lineage: Bacteria; Pseudomonadati; Acidobacteriota
Description: bacterial SSU rRNA
Rfam family: Bacterial small subunit ribosomal RNA
Source: RNAcentral